CCUAGAUGAAUUUGGUGCUUGCACCAAAUGAAACUAGAUACAAGCGAGCGGCGGACGGGUGAGUAACACGUGGGUAACCUGCCCAAGAGACUGGGAUAACACCUGGAAACAGAUGCUAAUACCGGAUAACAACACUAGACGCAUGUCUAGAGUUUAAAAGAUGGUUCUGCUAUCACUCUUGGAUGGACCUGCGGUGCAUUAGCUAGUUGGUAAGGUAACGGCUUACCAAGGCAAUGAUGCAUAGCCGAGUUGAGAGACUGAUCGGCCACAUUGGGACUGAGACACGGCCCAAACUCCUACGGGAGGCAGCAGUAGGGAAUCUUCCACAAUGGACGCAAGUCUGAUGGAGCAACGCCGCGUGAGUGAAGAAGGGUUUCGGCUCGUAAAGCUCUGUUGGUAGUGAAGAAAGAUAGAGGUAGUAACUGGCCUUUAUUUGACGGUAAUUACUUAGAAAGUCACGGCUAACUACGUGCCAGCAGCCGCGGUAAUACGUAGGUGGCAAGCGUUGUCCGGAUUUAUUGGGCGUAAAGCGAGUGCAGGCGGUUCAAUAAGUCUGAUGUGAAAGCCUUCGGCUCAACCGGAGAAUUGCAUCAGAAACUGUUGAACUUGAGUGCAGAAGAGGAGAGUGGAACUCCAUGUGUAGCGGUGGAAUGCGUAGAUAUAUGGAAGAACACCAGUGGCGAAGGCGGCUCUCUGGUCUGCAACUGACGCUGAGGCUCGAAAGCAUGGGUAGCGAACAGG
Molecule: ribosomal RNA, 741 nt
Filed under: uncultured Bacilli bacterium
Lineage: Bacteria; Bacillati; Bacillota; Bacilli
Description: bacterial SSU rRNA
Rfam family: Bacterial small subunit ribosomal RNA
Source: RNAcentral